AGCGGCGGACGGGUGAGUAACGCGUGGGUAACCUGCCUCAUACAGGGGGAUAACAGUUAGAAAUGACUGCUAAUACCGCAUAAGACCACGGUACCGCAUGGUACAGUGGUAAAAACUCCGGUGGUAUGAGAUGGACCCGCGCUGAUUAGGUAGUUGGUGGGGUAACGGCCUACCAAGCCGACGAUCAGUAGCCGACCUGAGAGGGUGACCGGCCACAUUGGGACUGAGACACGGCCCAG
RNAcentral lists this ribosomal RNA (239 nucleotides) under uncultured bacterium. RNAcentral's name for it is "partial 16S ribosomal RNA". It matches the Rfam family "Bacterial small subunit ribosomal RNA", at positions 94 to 334 of the family's 1533-position model. The record is from RNAcentral.